ACUGGGCGUAAAGGGCACGCAGGCGGUGACUUAAGUGAGGUGUGAAAGCCCCGGGCUUAACCUGGGAAUUGCAUUUCAUACUGGGUCGCUAGAGUACUUUAGGGAGGGGUAGAAUUCCACGUGUAGCGGUGAAAUGCGUAGAGAUGUGGAGGAAUACCGAAGGCGAAGGCAGCCCCUUGGGAAUGUACUGACGCUCAUGUGCGAAAGCGUGGGGAGCAAACAGGAUUAGAUACCCUGGUAGUCCACGCUGUAAACGAUGUCGAUUUGGGGGUUGAGCUUUAAGUUUGGCGCCCGUAGCUAACGUGAUAAAUCGACCGCCUGGGGAGUACGGCCGCAAGGUUAAAACUCAAAUGAAUUGACGGGGGCCCGCACAAGCGGUGGAGCAUGUGGUUUAAUUCGAUGCAACGCGAAGAACCUUACCUACUCUUGACAUCCAGAGAACUUUCCAGAGAUGGAUUGGUGCCUUCGGGAGCUCUGAGACAGGUGCUGCAUGGCUGUCGUCAGCUCGUGUCGUGAG
Molecule: ribosomal RNA, 517 nt
Filed under: uncultured bacterium
Lineage: Bacteria
Description: bacterial SSU rRNA
Rfam family: Bacterial small subunit ribosomal RNA
Source: RNAcentral